RNAcentral lists this ribosomal RNA (469 nucleotides) under uncultured bacterium. Its description in RNAcentral is "partial 16S ribosomal RNA". It matches the Rfam family "Bacterial small subunit ribosomal RNA", at positions 29 to 506 of the family's 1533-position model. The record is from RNAcentral.
ACGAACGCUGGCGGCGUGCUUAACACAUGCAAGUCGAACGGAAAGGCCCUGCUUGCAGGGUGCUCGAGUGGCGAACGGGUGAGUAACACGUGGGUGAUCUGCCCCUUACUUUGGGAUAAGCCUGGGAAACUGGGUCUAAUACUGGAUAGGACCAUGCUGUAGGUGGUGUGGUGGAAAGAUUUUUUCGGUAAGGGAUGAGCUCGCGGCCUAUCAGCUUGUUGGUGGGGUAAUGGCCUACCAAGGCGUCGACGGGUAGCCGGCCUGAGAGGGUGGACGGCCACAUUGGGACUGAGAUACGGCCCAGACUCCUACGGGAGGCAGCAGUGGGGAAGAUUGCACAAUGGGCGCAAGCCUGAUGCAGCGACGCCGCGUGGGGGAUGACGGCCUUCGGGUUGUAAACUCCUUUCAGCCAUGACGAAGCCUCUUUUGGGGUGACGGUAGUGGUAGAAGAAGCACCGGCUAACUACGU